This 253-nucleotide ribosomal RNA is filed under the name uncultured bacterium. RNAcentral describes it as "partial 16S ribosomal RNA". It matches the Rfam family "Bacterial small subunit ribosomal RNA", at positions 524 to 776 of the family's 1533-position model. The record is from RNAcentral.
UACGUAGGGUGCAAGCGUUAAUCGGAAUUACUGGGCGUAAAGCGUGCGCAGGCGGUUAUGUAAGACAGUUGUGAAAUCCCCGGGCUCAACCUGGGAACUGCAUCUGUGACUGCAUAGCUAGAGUACGGUAGAGGGGGAUGGAAUUCCGCGUGUGGCGGUGAAAUGCGUAGAUAUGCGGAGGAACACCGAUGGCGAAGGCAAUCCCCUGGGCCUGCACUGACGCUCAUGCACGAAAGCGUGGGGAGCGAACAGG